GAUGAACGCUGGCGGCGUGCCUAAUACAUGCAAGUCGAGCGAACAGACGAGGAGCUUGCUCCUCUGACGUUAGCGGCGGACGGGUGAGUAACACGUGGAUAACCUACCUAUAAGACUGGGAUAACUUCGGGAAACCGGAGCUAAUACCGGAUAAUAUAUUGAACCGCAUGGUUCAAUAGUGAAAGACGGUUUUGCUGUCACUUAUAGAUGGAUCCGCGCCGCAUUAGCUAGUUGGUAAUGUAACGGCUUACCAAGGCAACGAUGCGUAGCCGACCUGAGAGGAUGAUCGGCCACACUGGAACUUAGACACGGUCCAGACUCCUACGGGAGGCAGCAGUAGGGAAUCUUCCGCAAUGGGCGAAAGCCUGACGGAGCAACGCCGCGUGAGUGAUGAAGGUCUUCGGAUCGUAAAACUCUGUUAUUAGGGAAGAACAAAUGUGUAAGUAACUAUGCACGUCUUGACGGUACCUAAUCAGAAAGCCACGGCUAACUACGUG
RNAcentral lists this ribosomal RNA (497 nucleotides) under uncultured bacterium. Its description in RNAcentral is "partial 16S ribosomal RNA". It matches the Rfam family "Bacterial small subunit ribosomal RNA", at positions 28 to 507 of the family's 1533-position model. The record is from RNAcentral.